GCCCUAGUAACGGCGAGUGAAGCGGCAACAGCUCAAAUUUGAAAUCUGGCCUUCUGGUCCGAAUUGUAAUUUGUAGAGGAUGCUUUUGGUGCGGUGCCUUCCGAGUUCCCUGGAACGGGACGCCUUAGAGGGUGAGAGCCCCGUACGGUUGGACGCCUAGCCUCUGUAAAGCUCCUUCGACGAGUCGAGUAGUUUGGGAAUGCUGCUCUAAAUGGGAGGUAAAUUUCUUCUAAAGCUAAAUACCGGCCAGAGACCGAUAGCGCACAAGUAGAGUGAUCGAAAGAUGAAAAGCACUUUGAAAAGAGGGUUAAAUAGUACGUGAAAUUGUUGAAAGGGAAGCGCUUAUGACCAGACCUUUGCUCGGCGGAUCAUCCGGUGUUCUCACCGGUGCACUUCGUCGGGUCGAGGCCAGCGUCGAUUUCCGGUGGGGGAUAAAGGCUUCGGGAAUGUGACUCCUCCGGGAGUGUUAUAGCCCGUUGCGUAAUACCCCUCCGGGGAUCGAGGUUCGCGCUCUGCAAGGACGCUGGCGUAAUGGUCAUCAGUGACCCGUCUUGAAACACGGACCAAGGAGUCGAACAUUUGUGCGAGUGUUUGGGUGUCAAACCCUCACGCGUAAUGAAAGUGAACGGAGGUGAGAGCCCUCGGGCGCAUCAUCGACCGAUCCUGAUGUCUUCGGAUGGAUUUGAGUAAGAGCAUAACUGUUCGGACCCGAAAGAUGGUGAACUAUGCGUGGAUAGGGUGAAGCCAGAGGAAACUCUGGUGGAGGCUCGCAGCGGUUCUGACGUGCAAAUCGAUCGUCAAAUCUGCGCAUGGGGGC
This 817-nucleotide ribosomal RNA is filed under the name Neogyrothrix oleae. RNAcentral describes it as "Gyrothrix oleae partial large subunit ribosomal RNA". It matches the Rfam family "Eukaryotic large subunit ribosomal RNA", at positions 77 to 924 of the family's 3401-position model. Lineage: Eukaryota; Fungi; Ascomycota; Sordariomycetes; Xylariales; Gyrothricaceae. The record is from RNAcentral.